UACGGAGGGUGCGAGCGUUUCCCGGAUUUACUGGGUGUAAAGGGCGUGUAGGCGGUCUCUCAAGUCCGAUGCUAAAGACCGAGGCUCAACCUCGGGAGUGCGUUGGAUACUGUGAGGCUAGACGGUCGGAGAGGGCAGCGGAAUUCUCGGAGUAGCGGUGAAAUGCGCAGAUACCGAGAGGAACGCUAAUCGCGAAGGUAACAGCCUGGUCGAGUUAUGACGGUCAGGCGUGAAAGCGUGGGGAGCAAACCGG
This 253-nucleotide ribosomal RNA is filed under the name uncultured bacterium. RNAcentral describes it as "partial 16S ribosomal RNA". It matches the Rfam family "Bacterial small subunit ribosomal RNA", at positions 524 to 776 of the family's 1533-position model. The record is from RNAcentral.